Molecule: transfer RNA, 74 nt
Filed under: Myotis davidii
Lineage: Eukaryota; Metazoa; Chordata; Mammalia; Chiroptera; Vespertilionidae
Rfam family: tRNA
About the family: Transfer RNA (tRNA) molecules are approximately 80 nucleotides in length. Their secondary structure includes four short double-helical elements and three loops (D, anti-codon, and T loops).
Source: Rfam by way of RNAcentral
GCUGGUGUGGCUCAGUGGAUAGAGCGUCAGCCUGUGGACUGAAGGGUCCUGGGUUCAAUUCCCAGUCAAGGGCA